UUUCUGAAAUUUGGUUUCAGGAUUUAUAUAAGUCAGCUAUACCGUGUGAUGCGUUUUCAGAUUCAUCACUCGACAACUUCCUGUUUACCGAACACUUGUAUGAUUUUACACAUGAUAGCCAAGUUGAAAUUUUCGUCACAUUUUUCUCAGGAACUACAAUACAAGGAUUUCUGAAAUUUGGUUUCAGGAUUUAUAUAAGUCAGCUAUACCGUGUGAUGCGUUUUCAGAUUCAUCACUCGACAACUUCCUGUUUACCGAACACUUGCAUAUUUUUACACUAUUAAUAUUAUCCACUUGCGGCGGG
Molecule: long non-coding RNA, 304 nt
Filed under: Mytilus galloprovincialis (Mediterranean mussel)
Lineage: Eukaryota; Metazoa; Mollusca; Bivalvia; Mytilida; Mytilidae
Source: RNAcentral